This 429-nucleotide ribosomal RNA is filed under the name Acidobacteriota bacterium. Its description in RNAcentral is "Acidobacteria bacterium partial 16S ribosomal RNA". It matches the Rfam family "Bacterial small subunit ribosomal RNA", at positions 355 to 776 of the family's 1533-position model. The record is from RNAcentral. Lineage: Bacteria; Pseudomonadati; Acidobacteriota.
UGGGGAAUUUUGGACAAUGGGGGAAACCCUGAUCCAGCCAUCCCGCGUGUGCGAUGAAGGCCUUCGGGUUGUAAAGCACUUUUGGCAGGAAAGAAACGUCAUGGGUUAAUACCCCGUGAAACUGACGGUACCUGCAGAAUAAGCACCGGCUAACUACGUGCCAGCAGCCGCGGUAAUACGUAUGGUUCAAGCGUUAAUCGGAAUUACUGGGCGUAAAGCGUGCGCAGGCGGUUCGGAAAGAAAGAUGUGAAAUCCCAGAGCUCAACUUUGGAACUGCAUUUUUAACUACCGGGCUAGAGUGUGUCAGAGGGAGGUGGAAUUCCGCGUGUAGCAGUGAAAUGCGUAGAUAUGCGGAGGAACACCGAUGGCGAAGGCAGCCUCCUGGGAUAACACUGACGCUCAUGCACGGAAGCGUGGGGAGCAAACAGG